This 471-nucleotide ribosomal RNA is filed under the name uncultured Alteromonas sp. Its description in RNAcentral is "bacterial SSU rRNA". It matches the Rfam family "Bacterial small subunit ribosomal RNA", at positions 97 to 570 of the family's 1533-position model. Lineage: Bacteria; Pseudomonadati; Pseudomonadota; Gammaproteobacteria; Alteromonadales; Alteromonadaceae. The record is from RNAcentral.
GGCGGACGGGUGAGUAAUGCUUGGGAACUUGCCUUUGCGAGGGGGAUAACAGUUGGAAACGACUGCUAAUACCGCAUAAUGUUUUCGAACCAAACGGGGCUUAGGCUCCGGCGCAGAGAGAGGCCCAAGUGAGAUUAGCUAGUUGGUAAGGUAAAAGCUUACCAAGGCGACGAUCUCUAGCUGUUCUGAGAGGAAGAUCAGCCACACUGGGACUGAGACACGGCCCAGACUCCUACGGGAGGCAGCAGUGGGGAAUAUUGCACAAUGGGGGAAACCCUGAUGCAGCCAUGCCGCGUGUGUGAAGAAGGCCUUCGGGUUGUAAAGCACUUUCAGUUGUGAGGAAAGGAUAGUAGUUAAUACCUGCUAUCUGUGACGUUAGCAACAGAAGAAGCACCGGCUAACUCCGUGCCAGCAGCCGCGGUAAUACGGAGGGUGCGAGCGUUAAUCGGAAUUACUGGGCGUAAAGCGCAC